RNAcentral lists this ribosomal RNA (809 nucleotides) under uncultured bacterium. RNAcentral describes it as "bacterial SSU rRNA". It matches the Rfam family "Bacterial small subunit ribosomal RNA", at positions 60 to 862 of the family's 1533-position model. The record is from RNAcentral.
AGUCGAGGGGCAGCAUCAUCAAAGCUUGCUUUGAUGGAUGGCGACCGGCGCACGGGUGAGUAACACGUAUCCAGCCUGCCGACAACACUGGGAUAGCCUUUCGAAAGAAAGAUUAAUACCGGAUGGCAUAAUUAUUCCGCAUGGGAUAAUUAUUAAAGAAUUUCGGUUGUCGAUGGGGAUGCGUUCCAUUAGGCAGUUGGCGGGGUAACGGCCCACCAAACCUACGAUGGAUAGGGGUUCUGAGAGGAAGGUCCCCCACAUUGGAACUGAGACACGGUCCAAACUCCUACGGGAGGCAGCAGUGAGGAAUAUUGGUCAAUGGACGAGAGUCUGAACCAGCCAAGUAGCGUGAAGGAUGACUGCCCUAUGGGUUGUAAACUUCUUUUAUACGGGAAUAAAGUGAGCCACGUGUGGCUUUUUGUAUGUACCGUAUGAAUAAGGAUCGGCUAACUCCGUGCCAGCAGCCGCGGUAAUACGGAGGAUUCGAGCGUUAUCCGGAUUUAUUGGGUUUAAAGGGAGCGUAGGCGGGUUGUUAAGUCAGUUGUGAAAGUUUGCGGCUCAACCGUAAAAUUGCAGUUGAUACUGGCGACCUUGAGUGCAACAGAGGUAGGCGGAAUUCGUGGUGUAGCGGUGAAAUGCUUAGAUAUCACGAAGAACUCCGAUUGCGAAGGCAGCUUACUGGGUUGUAACUGACGCUGAUGCUCGAAAGUGUGGGUAUCAAACAGGAUUAGAUACCCUGGUAGUCCACACAGUAAACGAUGAAUACUCGCUGUUGGCGAUAUACAGUCAGCGGCCAAGCGAAAGCAUUA